UUUGCUGACAUCCCUUCAUCACCAUCACACAUCUCCAUACUUCUCUCUAUCUUUCUCUCUCUUUGAAUAUCUUUCUUCUUCAAUACACCAUUCUUUCUUUCUCUAUUAACCAGAUCUAUCUUCUUCAUCGCCAUCACACAUCUCCACAUUUUUUUUGAAAAACAAUUUCUGCAACAAAGAAUCAGAGUUGAAGAUCCAGAUCCACGAUGUCUUUCUCUCCAAGAUGGGUUUGAGCCGAAUCAGAAGCUGGAGUUGGAGGAGUUGUUUAAGGAAGGUGAUUUGGUUGAUGUUUCUGGUACCACCAUUGGCAAAGGGUUUCAAGGCGGUAUAAAGAGGCAUAACAUCAAAAGAGGUCCAUGGGUCAAAGAGUUAUCGGGCUCUUGGUUCAAUCGGAGCAGCAACAACGCCUGGGCGUCUGUACAAAGGGAAGAAAAUGCCUGGUCAAAUGGGAGGAACAAAAACCAAGAUCCGAAAACUUAAGAUUGUCAAAAUCGUCACUGAUUUGUUUGUUGUGAUUAAGAAAUAGGUGGUACUUAGUUGGAUUAUCCUUGUUAGUAUGUUAAUGACAUUUUCGGUAGUAUGUACUUGUUGAUGUUUGGCUGAAUAUGAGAAUUUUCUAUGUUAUGGAUUU
Helianthus annuus (common sunflower) is the source of this 631-nucleotide long non-coding RNA. RefSeq lists it as uncharacterized. The transcript has 2 exons. The record is from RefSeq and is a predicted model, not a curated record. NCBI's taxonomy places the organism in Eukaryota, Viridiplantae, Streptophyta, Magnoliopsida, Asterales, Asteraceae.